GGGUGGGUCCGGCGCGGCGGAGACCUUCAAAUCCCGUCAGGUCCGAGAGGAAGCAGCGGUAAGGAGGUCACUCCGGGUGCCGCCGGGGUACCGACCCAGA
Non-coding RNA from Anaerolineae bacterium SM23_ 63, 100 nucleotides. Lineage: Bacteria; Bacillati; Chloroflexota; Anaerolineae. The record is from Rfam.